RNAcentral lists this ribosomal RNA (301 nucleotides) under uncultured bacterium. RNAcentral describes it as "partial 16S ribosomal RNA". It matches the Rfam family "Bacterial small subunit ribosomal RNA", at positions 509 to 809 of the family's 1533-position model. The record is from RNAcentral.
CAGUCGCCGCGGUAAUACGUAGGGUGCAAGCGUUGUCCGGAAUUAUUGGGCGUAAAGAGCUCGUAGGCGGUUUGUCGCGUCUGCUGUGAAAUCCCGAGGCUCAACCUCGGGUCUGCAGUGGGUACGGGCAGACUAGAGUGCGGUAGGGGAGAUUGGAAUUCCUGGUGUAGCGGUGGAAUGCGCAGAUAUCAGGAGGAACACCGAUGGCGAAGGCAGAUCUCUGGGCCGUAACUGACGCUGAGGAGCGAAAGCAUGGGGAGCGAACAGGAUUAGAUACCCCCGUAGUCCCUGUCUCUUAUAU